This 253-nucleotide ribosomal RNA is filed under the name uncultured bacterium. RNAcentral describes it as "partial 16S ribosomal RNA". It matches the Rfam family "Bacterial small subunit ribosomal RNA", at positions 524 to 776 of the family's 1533-position model. The record is from RNAcentral.
UACGGAGGGUGCAAGCGUUAUCCGGAUUCACUGGGUUUAAAGGGUGCGUAGGUGGGUUUGUAAGUCAGUGGUGAAAUCUCCAAGCUUAACUUGGAACUGCCGUUGAUACUAUAAAUCUUGAAUGUUGUGGAGGUGAGCGGAAUAUGUCAUGUAGCGGUGAAAUGCUUAGAUAUGACAUAGAACACCAAUUGCGAAGGCAGCUCACUACACAAAGAUUGACACUGAGGCACGAAAAGCGUGGGGAUCAAACAGG